UGUUCUGCUUAGCUGUAGAUGCUUCUCAAAUUUCCUCUUUGGUGAAACAGGCAUUUGUGCAGGUUCCCCAUAAAAAUGACUGAUUUGGGUUUUACCAGGAGCUCUGGCACUUCUCCACUACAAGAAAGAAUUGCAUUUAUGGAGAGGUUUAUCAAGAUGGGAAUAGUGAAACAAGCAUUUUAAAUGUCCAGCAGAACCCUCUGUCUUCCCCCAAACAAGCGUCCCUGGGCAGGAAUUUCAGCCAUUCUGGAAUGAGAGCCUCCUGAAAGGAAUCUGUUUCCCUGUGGGACUGCCCAGAUUUCAGCCCUGCUUCUGGGGGAAGCUCUCGACUGUUUGCUGACUUUCACUCUUUUUUUUGUGGCUGCACACUCAGGGGCUCUCCUUACUAACACAGAAAAUCGAAUAAUGGCUCAGUGCUCACCACAGGACACCUCAUGUGUCUGCUCUGGUUUGGAGCCAAGUGUGCCAUCAGAUGUGGGACUGCUGGAGCCCGUGGGGCUGGAGCCGGUGCUGACCUUGGCCAGGCUGGUGGGACCCCAGCAGCAGAACUCUGAGCCAAUUCUCUUCCCUGAAGAUGAAGAAGGGCAGCAUGACAAUGGUCUGCACCUCCCACCCACUGCUCAGAUACAUAAUGGGGCUGGGAAGCUUUUCUAAAGAACCACUCUGGUCCUGUAUUGAAAUUCUGUCCAGCUCCCUUGGAAUGAGAUACAAAGGUGGAUAAAGAAAUCUGGAUCACACAGAUAAGCUCCUGAAGUGAAGACCAGGCACAAAAGAGUGAAAAGCAGGAAUGUUAUGGAGAAGAUAUUUGCCUGUCCAUUGAUUGAAUUUCACCUUAAAGUCCUUGAGCAAUAACAAGAACAAACUCCAGGAUGUUACAGCAAAACCUCAUCUCUGCACAUGCUGACUCUGCUUCCAGAAGGAACUAAUUCUUGCAAUAAUUCCAUUUUUUCCUGCUGUCCCCUAAAGGAUGUGAGGAUGCGUGGAGCCCUCGUGCAGCAGGAAUGGAGUGUUCAGCUCGUCCUGGGACACCUCAGCCACCACAGAACCUGGCUGUGCUCACGGGGAGGUGGCACACAGCAGAAAUUCUUGUCCUGCUCAGAAGAUGGGUGGAGCUUGGCCAAGAGCUGCUAUCGAUUGCAGGAGUUGUGAGACCGGCACACUCUGAAUGCAGGUCGUUGUGACCAACAGAGCCCCUAAAAUUUUAUGUACUGUGGUAGGGGCCUGCAGUUUUAAUCCCCUAACGGUGUUCUGCACUGAUCAUUAAUUAGAAUUAUUUAUAUAUAAAUUUGAAAUGUCAUUCUGUGAACUACCUCAAAAUCUAAAUUUUCUAUUUUUAAUCUUUUUAAAAUUUUACCUGCUUUGGAAAAUACAGCACAAGCUUUGAAGGACACUGUAUAGCCCCAGUUAUAACAGAGCAUCCAUGGCACCUAUACAGGAAAAAGGAGAGGACUGUUAAGGCAGACUAUUAUUCCUUUAGAGAUUUGCUUUCCUUAAUUUGCAUAGAACUGUCUUUGAUUAAAAAUUGCCUGUCACAGAAGUAGCUCGGUGAUUUUAUUUUGUAGCAGUCAUCAUUUCUCCUAAUGAGAGUAUAUUUUAUUCAAAGGUAUGUUUUUAUUCAUUCUAAAUGUUCUCUUUAUUUUAUUUAUUGCUUGUAACUGAGUGUAUUCAAUUAGAAAACUGUACAUCCUGCUGUGCUGUAACUGUUGGUAAUUGAGCUGCUCUGCUGCAUUUCUGUGGUGCAGGUCUGCUUGGGCAAGGAAGACGUGUGGGUUCUUCUCUCUGGGAUAAUUUUGUGCAGUUUUGCUCUAGAGAAGCUGAAUUUCAGUCUCAGAGUCCUUGCACUCAAAGGACAGCAUUGCUGUGCAAUGGGCAGAGCUGGGAAUAGAUAUUUUUUCCAGUGUUUGGGUGAGCUUUAACCUUUAUCUAUCAAUUGCUGUCAAUAGCAUUCAGUUAUAACAACAAUUAAAUGAAUAAAUGUAAGGAUGCUCUGGGAGGAGUCAACCAGAACGAACAGAGCUCUGUGAAAUUCAGGAGGUGUGACCCUGCUGGCUCACAGAACUCUGCUCUUCUCCAGGGUUUCUAAUUCUCUUAGUAAAUGGAGGAGAAAUUAGGCAGUUGCAGCAAAGGUCACCUUUUAUUAGCACUUAAUUUUUGGCCCCCAAACUGCCUGCCUGGGUGCCACCUUUCUUUCUUUGUGUGUUGUCUUUGAAUAAAUGGCCAAUUUCUCUUGA
Corvus hawaiiensis (hawaiian crow) is the source of this 2231-nucleotide long non-coding RNA. RefSeq lists it as uncharacterized. The record is from RefSeq and is a predicted model, not a curated record. Lineage: Eukaryota; Metazoa; Chordata; Aves; Passeriformes; Corvidae. The transcript is spliced from 6 exons.